RNAcentral lists this transfer RNA (17 nucleotides) under Acer negundo (box elder). Its description in RNAcentral is "partial tRNA-Leu". RNAcentral also lists the same sequence under 29 other names. Lineage: Eukaryota; Viridiplantae; Streptophyta; Magnoliopsida; Sapindales; Sapindaceae. The record is from RNAcentral.
AAGUCCCUCUAUCCCCC